Molecule: ribosomal RNA, 1407 nt
Filed under: metagenome
Description: bacterial SSU rRNA
Rfam family: Bacterial small subunit ribosomal RNA
Source: RNAcentral
AGAGUGAACGCUAGUAGUACGCUUUACACAUGCGAGUCAAACAUUGAAAAAUGUGGCGAACGGGUGAGUAACAUGUGAGAAGUUACCUCUUAGUUCGGGCUAAAUCCCGGAUAAAAAAAUUAUUUUGCUAAGAGAUACGCUUGCACAAGAUUAGGUAGUUGGUGUGAUAAAGGCUCACCAAGCCGACGAUCUUUAGCUGGUUUGAGAGAAUGAUCAGCCACACAGGGACUGAGACAAGGCCCUGGCUUUUUUAAAGCCAGCAGUGAGGAAUAUUGGACAAUGAGCGAAAGCUUGAUCCAGCGAUACUACGUGGAGGAAGAAGGCUUAUUUGGUCGUAAACUUCUAUAACCAAUCAAGAUAAUGACUUAAAUUGGUGAAAAGUUCUGGUUAAUUUCGUGCCAGCAACCGCGGUAAUACGAAAAGAGCAAGCGUUAUUCGGAAUAAUUGGGUGUAAAGGGUUCGUAGGCGGUAAAGUGGCAAGUUCAAAUAGAAAGGGAAGAGCGCAACUCUUCUUAGUAUUCUGAAAACGCCUUUACUAGAGUAUAAGGGAAGAUAAGAGAACGUUAAAGGAAAAGAUAAAAUUUACAGAUCUUUAACGGAAUACCAAAAGCGAAGGCACUUAUCUAGCUUAUUUUACUGACGCUGAGGGACGAAGGGGUAGGUAGCGAAUGGGAUUAGAGACCCCAGUAGUCUACCCUGUAAACGAUGAGUACUCACGCUUAGAAUUAUUAUUUUAGGCGUCUAGCUAACGCGUUAAGUACUCCACCUGAAGAGUACAAUCGCAAGAUCGGAACUCAAAGGAAUUGGCAGGGGCUCAUACAAUUGGUGGAGCAUGUGGUUUAAUAUGAUAAUACGCUUGAAAUCUUACCAGUUCUUGAUUUAUAUUGUUGUAAAACAAAGAAUAUAACAGGUACUGCAUGGCUGUCGUCAGCUCGUGUCGUGAGAUGUUUGGUUUAGUCCUUUAACGAGCGCAACCCCUAUUUGUUGUCUGCAAAUUGUUUUUUAUAACAACAAUGAUUCUACAAAAAAAAUUCAUUAUAAGUGAAAGGAAGGGGGAUUACGUCAAGUCGGUAUGAUCUUUAUGAACUGGGCUACACACGUGCUACAAUGGGAAUUACAAAAUGAAGUGAGAAUGCGAAUUCUAACAAAUCAUUAAAAAUUUCCGUAGUUCGGACUAUUGACUGAAACUCGUCAAUAUGAAGCUGGAAUCAUUAGUAAUCGUAAAUCAGUAUGUUACGGUGAAUUUGUACCUGAGCCUUGUACACACCGCCCGUCACAUGUCGGGAGUUAAACCUACUUAAAAAAGUUAGUAACAACGAUUCACGCUUUAUGCGUUAAGAGAGUUCUAAUUUCCAGAGGUGGUUUAGUGACUGAGAUGAAGUCGAAACAAGGUAGGCGUACGGGAAC